AACGAACGCUGGCGGCAUGCCUAACACAUGCAAGUCGAACGAGACCUUCCGGUCUAGUGGCGCACGGGUGCGUAACGCGUGGGAACCUGCCCUUAGGUUCGGAAUAACUCCCCGAAAGGGAUGCUAAUACCGGAUAAUGUCUUCGGACCAAAGAUUUAUCGCCUUUGGAUGGGCCCGCGUUGGAUUAGCUAGUUGGUAGGGUAAAAGCCUACCAAGGCGACGAUCCAUAGCUGGUCUGAGAGGAUGAUCAGCCACACUGGGACUGAGACACGGCCCAGACUCCUACGGGAGGCAGCAGUGGGGAAUAUUAGACGAUGGGCGAAAGCCUGAUCAAGCAAUGCCGCGUGAGUGAUGAAGGCCUUAGGGUUGUAAAGCUCUUUUACCCGGGAUGAUAAUGACAGUACCGGGAGAAUAAGCACCGGCUAACUCCGUG
This 433-nucleotide ribosomal RNA is filed under the name uncultured bacterium. RNAcentral describes it as "partial 16S ribosomal RNA". It matches the Rfam family "Bacterial small subunit ribosomal RNA", at positions 29 to 507 of the family's 1533-position model. The record is from RNAcentral.